Molecule: ribosomal RNA, 185 nt
Filed under: Lysinibacillus sp. NP1
Lineage: Bacteria; Bacillati; Bacillota; Bacilli; Caryophanales; Bacillaceae
Description: partial 16S ribosomal RNA
Rfam family: Bacterial small subunit ribosomal RNA
Source: RNAcentral
GCAGCAGUAGGGAAUCUUCCACAAUGGGCGAAAGCCUGAUGGAGCAACGCCGCGUGAGUGAAGAAGGUUUUCGGAUCGUAAAACUCUGUUGUAAGGGAAGAACAAGUACAGUAGUAACUGGCUGUACCUUGACGGUACCUUAUUAGAAAGCCACGGCUAACUACGUGCCAGCAGCCGCGGUAAUC